Long non-coding RNA from Apus apus (common swift), 567 nucleotides. RefSeq lists it as uncharacterized. NCBI's taxonomy places the organism in Eukaryota, Metazoa, Chordata, Aves, Apodiformes, Apodidae. The transcript is spliced from 4 exons. The record is from RefSeq and is a predicted model, not a curated record.
GAACCACCUAACUUUUUCGAGUGCUCUGGAUGCAGCUCCCAUAAAUAUGGAGCGUUUGUUGCAGCUGCUCCACGGAUGCCCAGCUGAACUCCAUGAUUUUGACUUGAGGUGACAGCUGAAAAGCACCAGAAACCCUUGGAAUUUCAGAUCUAUAUAUUACUAUAAAGGAAGAAAAUAAAGUUCUGCUAGUAGAAGGCACACGUGUGUGAGCGCGCGCGCGCCCGUGCAAAACGGAGUCCAGGAGUGUGAACGUGCACCCAGGGGCUUGCAGCCUGGAGGAGGGGUCGUGUUGGACCACGCCAGCCCAUCAGAAUCAUCUCAAAAGAGCCCUCAGAGCAGCCCGUUGUGUUUUUUUUUCUUGAAUAGCCUGGGCCAUGUGGGAGCCUCUGCAAAUGCUCGCGUCCCGUUUUUACCUGGUCUUGUGUGGAAUAAAGACCAUAAACUUUCUGCAAACCAUUUCUUUUAAGAGGUGGGGUUUCCAGUUCGACUUCAAGAAGAGAAUGAUGUUUUGGAGUCCUGGUGUGUUACAGAAGAAUUCAGAGAACAAGAGGGACAAAGCAAGGUAAG